GAGCAGAUAGAAUUAGUGAGCAGUUCAGUCCACCAUCAUGGAACAGAAUGCAAGACAGCACGUCACUGAACAGAGGCACCGAGAGUGAUAUGCUCUAACUGGAAGCUUCUCAGACAGGGGUAAAAAUUGUCAGAAUGUCCCCACCUCUGACUGGCAGAACAAAGACUCAUGUAGGAGAUCCUGAAAAAGGGAAGACAUGGAAAGCCCAUGCUGUGCACCAGCUUCACUCAUUGCAUCACCAAACUCUAAAUUCCAUGAGGAUGAGGGUUUCAUCUGCUGUCUCCAGCGCGUAGAGCCGUGCAUUCGGUAACUUAUCGGUAAGUACUA
RNAcentral lists this long non-coding RNA (327 nucleotides) under Rattus norvegicus (Norway rat). RNAcentral's name for it is "long non-coding RNA NONRATT033136". The record is from RNAcentral. Lineage: Eukaryota; Metazoa; Chordata; Mammalia; Rodentia; Muridae.